UCCCAUAUGGUCGACCUGCAGGCGGCCGCACUAGUGAUUCGAUUAAGCCAUGCAAGUCGAGAGGGUUCGGCCCUCGGCGUACUGCUCAGUAACACGUGGAUAACCUGCCCUAGGGAAGGGGAUAAUCCCGGGAAACUGGGGAUAAUACCCUAUAGGUUACAGAUGCUGGAAUGCUCUGUAAUCAAAAGUUCCGGCGCCCUAGGAUGGAUCUGCGGCCGAUUAGGUUGUUGUUGGGGUAAUGGCCCAACAAGCCAGUAAUCGGUACGGGUUGUGGGAGCAAGAGCCCGGAGUUGGAUUCUGAGACACGAAUCCAGGCCCUACGGGGCGCAGCAGGCGCGAAAACUUUACAAUGCGGGCAACCGUGAUAAGGGAACCUCGAGUGCCUGUAAAUGCAGGCUGUUCAGAUGCCUAAAACACAUCUGGAGAAAGGGCCGGGCAAGACCGGUGCCAGCCGCCGCGGUAAUACCGGCGGCUCGAGUGGUGGCCACUUUUAUUGGGCUUAAAGCGUUCGUAGCUGGGUUGUUAAGUCUCUUGGGAAAUCUGGCGGCUUAACCGUCAGGCGUCUAAGGGAUACUGGCAAUCUUGGAACCGGGAGAGGUGAGGGGUACUUCGGGGGUAGGAGUGAAAUCCUGUAAUCCUCGAGGGACCACCUGUGGCGAAGGCGCCUCACCAGAACGGCUUCGACAGUGAGGGACGAAAGCUGGGGGAGCAAACCGGAUUAGAUACCCGGGUAGUCCCAGCCGUAAACUAUGCGCGUUAGGUGUAUCGGUGACCACGAGUUACCGAGGUGCCGAAGGGAAACCGUGAAACGUGCCGCCUGGGAAGUACGGUCGCAAGGCUGAAACUUAAAGGAAUUGGCGGGGGAGCAAAUCCCGCGGCCA
This 881-nucleotide ribosomal RNA is filed under the name uncultured archaeon. RNAcentral describes it as "bacterial SSU rRNA". It matches the Rfam family "Archaeal small subunit ribosomal RNA", at positions 1 to 891 of the family's 1478-position model. The record is from RNAcentral.